This 276-nucleotide long non-coding RNA is filed under the name Prunus persica (peach). RNAcentral describes it as "long non-coding RNA (PPER_LNC006448)". Lineage: Eukaryota; Viridiplantae; Streptophyta; Magnoliopsida; Rosales; Rosaceae. The record is from RNAcentral.
CCAAAUAUGUCUACAGUGACCUCCCCCGGGAGCCAGUUCCUCGCCCAGUAUCUCCUACAGGCUCAGUCAGAUCAUCCUUAUCAGUUGAAGGAAAAUCUAAAGCUGAGCUCCAGGAAAUUGCACGCCAGUUGAUCAUCCAGGCCUCUCAGAUGGAUGAUGAUGAGGACAAUGAUUCUCCCUCAUCGUCUAGUUGCCAGCCUUUGCAGAGUCCUACCAAGACAAAACCUUGGUAUGAUGACAGCCAGGAUCCCUACGAUGCCUAUGAUCUAGGGGAAU